Pongo pygmaeus (Bornean orangutan) is the source of this 13204-nucleotide long non-coding RNA. RefSeq lists it as uncharacterized. The record is from RefSeq and is a predicted model, not a curated record. Lineage: Eukaryota; Metazoa; Chordata; Mammalia; Primates; Hominidae. The transcript has 4 exons.
CCCUGGAUUCGCACACACUCACUCUUCGGGAUGACCUGCCUGUGACAUGAAGCUGAGAACUGGUAGCCCUUGUUAGAGGAACACGUGCUUCCAGACCAGAUAGACUCUCCCUCUGUUGCCCAGGCUGGAGUGCAGCAGCGUGGUCCCGGCUCACUGCAGUAUUAACCUUCCCUGGCUCAAGUGAUUCUCCUGCUUCAGGUUCCCGAGUAGCUAGGACUACAGUUCUUCUUGCUGCCACCAUGUGAAGAAGGACAUGUUUGCUACCCCUUCCACCAUGUUUGUAAGUUUCCUGAGGCCUCCCCAGCCAUGGUAAACUGUGAGUCAAUUAAAACUCUUUCCUUUAUAAAUUACUCAGUCUUGGGGAAGUCUUUAUUAGCAGCAUGAGAACUGACUAAUACACAUACACAUAUUUUUGAGUUAUAGGACAUAUCAGCAAGAAAUGUCAACCCAGCCUCAAAGUAAUUCAAGAAUAAAAAUAAAAUUGGUAGAGAAAAUGCACUCAAUUAAGUACUACACUGAAAGACAUUUGAGUUGCUCCAGUCUGUUUCUAUUACCAAUAAUGCUAUAAACAUAAUUAUGAAGGUCCACAAAUAAAUCUCUAGGAUGAGUUCUCCAUGAUGGAAUUACUUCUAGAAUAUUUUAAGAUUUAAUUUAAUAUCUACAUUUUAAGCUUCAUAGAAGCUUUUGCAUUAUAGUGACCUUCUUUCACCUAACAGUUUUUUAACCUAGGUUUCAAAUUUGUCAUUUAUAUAUACAGGUUAAACAUCCCUUAUCCAGUAAUCUGAAACUCGAAAUGGUAAAAAAAAACCUGAAACUUUUUGAACAAUGACAUGAUGCCACAGUUGGAAAAUUCCACACCUGACUUCAUAUGACAGGUUGCAGUCAAUAGAAUGAAUGAUUGAAGGAUUAGAUAGCACAGGUGCACAACACACAGCUUAUUCAGUGCCUCAAGGGGAAAAAAGACCCUCCUAACACCCAUCAGCUAUGAUAUAUCUUUUCUGCACAUGCCCAGAUUCCCUCAUGCAAGCACACUCACAAAAGGUAAUAAAAUGGCACAUGUGUAGGCUGGAUGCACCAAGGAAAUUUCCUUACAAUGGCCCACAAAGGGGUCAAGACCAACAGACAUUACUCGUACUUUUUUUGCUUACUCUGCUUUUUGAUGUAAAGAUAUUGUUAAAAAAGUCAAAAAGGCCUGCAGAUACCCCAAUGGGUAACAGCGAUGAGAAAAUAAGGAAACAUUUUGUUUAUCUAUAGCACAGAAAGUCAAGCUGUUAAGAGAAACUGGACAGCAGCGUCUCAGUGUGAAAUGUCUUCCAGAAGAGUAUGGUGUUGGAAUGAAGACCAUAUACCACCUGAAGAAACAGAAGGAAAAACUGUUGAAGUUCUAUGCUGAAAGUGAUAAGCAAAAGUUACUAAAAACUAGAAAAUCCCUGCAUACAUUGCCCAAUUGUGAAAGAGCCAAAAUGGUUCUGAAUCAAGGUGAUUGUGAUAAUAUUAACAAUGAAGAUGAUAUUAACAGUGCAGAGAAAUGUGUCUGUAGACUAACAUGGCAAAAAUGUGUGAUGGGCUUAUAGAAGAACUAAAGCAGUGGGCAGUGAUAACAGAACAAGAAUUCAUGUCAGUUUAUAAAAUCAAAGAGGAACUUCGAAGACAAAAACAUUAAUGAGGCAGCAUUAAUGAGGAAAUAUUUUUUAAAGCCAACAGCAGAAUGCCUCUUUCUCCCUAGAGAACCCAUUUCCUAGUCCCCCGACUGCUUCUGAUGUUUCUUCUCACCGAAGGAAAUAAAAUACAGUGUAUUUUAAUCAAAACACAGCAUUGCAGGUGGGGACUAAGUGCUUGCAGUUGUUUGCUGCUGCUCUUUCACAGCUGAUAGAGGUGUUCUGGUGAUGCCACUCUGCUGCUUAGUUACCCUAAACACAUUAUUUUUUCACUAUAUUAAUGGUGUGCCAUAUUGUUUACUUUUAAGCACUUUUGUGUGAAUAAGUGUAAGAAAAUGAUUACUUAUUGUUAGGAUAUAAAUUCAGAGUCAGGAAUGAUGGCAAUGCCAAACAACCAGAGAUGGUCCACAUAGGUGGCUGAGAGAGUGACACAUUUACUUUCUGAUAGUUUCUUGUACAUGAACUUCAUUUCAUGCACGAAAUAACUAAAAAAUAUUUUAUAAAAUUACCUUCAGGCUAUGUGUAUAAAGUGUAUAUGAAACUUAAAUGAAUUUUGGGUUUAGACGUUGGUCCCAUUUCCAAGAUAUCUCAUUAUGUAUAUGCAAAUAUUUUAAAAUCAGAAAAAAACCCCGAAAUUCUAAACACUUCUGGUCCCAAACAUUACAGAUAAAGGAUAUUCAACCUCUAUAUGUCAUAAUAAGCUUUCCUUUUGCUUCCAUUUGCAUUUUUGCUUUUUGAAGAAGCAAAGUGUACAACUGUCAAGAGCACAAUUUCUGGAGUCAGAUUGCUUGGGUUCAAAAUGCAGUUCUGCCCCUUUUAAUGGAAACCUGAGAAAGAUACAUAUCUCUUUAUCAUUCUUGAUUUUUGAAAUAUGGAUAAAUAAUACCUACCUCAUCGAUCAGGGUUAGGCUUAAUAAAUUAUUUUGUAUCCAGUGAUUUACAUAGUGUUAAUCUGAGGUAGAUGUUGUUAUUACAUAGUAAGACCUGUAUAUAAUUCACUUUACUUCCUAAUCUCUGGAAUUCUUUGGUUCCAAAUGUACCUCUUGCCUCUUAAAUUUAAAAAGGAAAAUCUCUGCAAUGCAUGUGUAUUUGACUCUUAGAUUAGAGAACAAAUGUAGCUAAAUGUGAAAUAAAAGUUUUGGGAUAAUACCACUUUUACUUAUGCAUUGAUUUGAAGCUUUGUGAUAUUGUUAAUAUUCGAUAAUUUUGAUCUGCAAAAAUGGCAACUAAAUAUGCUUCAAUCUAAUACAUGAAUAAGAAGGGCCCUUUCAUGACAGGUUAGCUGAUUCAUAACAUAAGAAUUACUUAAUAUUAAAAAUGUCAUCCUUUAAGAUCCAGCUCUAAUGUUAUUUCUUUUCUAAAUAACUUCUCACCUUAUGCAAGAAGAUUUGUCAUUUGCACAAAUGGACUUUCAUGACACUUUACGAUGGUUUUACCUUCAUCUUUAUGUUCUUACUCUGUAAAUAUGACUUUCGCUAAUAGUAGACCAAUUUUGUCACUUUAUUUUUUAAUGAUCAGCACUGAGUUUUAUAUCUCUCAUAUAGUAGGUGCUCAAUAUACAUUUAUGUAGUUAAAAAAUGGAUGCAUUGGUGUAUGCAUGGGGCAGGCAUGAAUAGAACUAGCUUUAUGUGUUGGUCUGCACAAUUAAUACAUUAUCAAAAGCUUUCUCCCCCAAUUAACCUCCACUUCUGAUUUAUUAAUUUAAAAAGUGAAACAAUUAUAUUAUCUGCCCCUUGGUUUAAACCAGUGAAUAGUUUGAACAAAUGCCAUAAGAAAUUUUUUUUCAGUAGCUGUUAUGAAUGGGCCUUGUUGAGCCAUUCCUUAGAACAGGUUUUAAUUUAUAUAUAGAAGUAUUAACUAGAUGGGAGAUUUAGUAAUAUUAGAAGUGGGAGCCUAAUAGGUAAUGAGCAAACAAUGAAAAAUUGUAUCAGUUUGUUAGAUCUGCUUCUGGUAGGCAGAAGCAGAUCUUGUCUUCUUUCUCAGAUAAGAAAACCAGAGAGCUUUAUUAGUAAUGCCAUAUUAUAAAAAAAUAGCCAACAUUUCUUAAAUGUCUACCAUGUAAUAGACAUGUCCUAAGCAUUUUAUAUAUGUUCCCCCAUUUAUUUCUUAUUGAAGCUCACAAAAUAACCAACACUAUUAUCUGCUCUUAUAAAUAGAGUAACUGAGACAUAGGGAGGUUAGAUGUUUUUCCUAAGGUCAUAUAGCCAGUUAGUAGAAGAGCUAAAGUUCAUACCCAGACAUCUACUCAAGAGCUGUGUGGUUAAGCAUUAUUCAGAGCAGCUUUUCUGGGAUGGGUAUCUUCUGUUUGACCUCUUUGCAGAUACACUUUUCCUCCUUCUCAAUCCUGCUUUCCUGGAGGCUGACCAAGCUGCUAUUAAUGGGCUCACUUGCCUUCUAGCCACAGGUAGGGUUUGGUCUAUACGGCAUAAUAGCAGAAGAGAAAAUGAGAAGAGAAUGAGGUCAGGACUCUGAUUAAGCCAUGAAAUUUUAUUUUAAAUGUGAACAUCAACAAAAUAAUUAUAUUGAAACUUACAUUGACCUCCCUAAUCUUGACAAUUUUUGAGGUAUUUAACAUUCCACUGCAGAUAGUUGAGUUUUAGAAGAUACAACUUUCUGAAAAAUCAAUGACAAAAUUGGUUGCCCUGCUUCCCUCCCUGUUACAUUACUGAGAAUUGGCUGUGUCUCUGUAUAAAGACCAGAGUUCCUUAAGUGAUCUCCGCACAUCAUCACACCCUCCAUAUUCCAAUAACUUUUGUCCCUUCAGGUAUAGAGGUAGGAAAAUCCCCCAGUGUUACUAGCCCUAUGGGGUCUGCACUAUCCCUUUUUGGAUUAUUUAAACCCUGCACAUAACUUUUAAAAAGUGUCUCUAGUUCUUAUCAAAUUAUCCUGUUUGUGUGUUCCAGUUAUUUCCUACCCAAAAUCAUGACUGAAUAAUUGUCUAAUAAAGCAUUCAAUUAUAUUUUUGAAAACAUUAUGCCAUGAUGUCGUAUGAUUAUGCUUUUUUGCUCAAUAUAUAGCAAGCACAUUAGUGCUGAGCACAUGUGAAGUGUUUAAUUAAUUAAGUGCUUAUUUACUGUAAAAUUUUAAGGCUUUUAAAUUAAGAUGCUAAAAUAACAUAUGAUUGUAUUUAGAAUUUAUUAUAAUUUUGGUAUUAAAUGAAAAUGAUAAACCUUUCAAAAGGAACAUGGGGAGAUCUACUUUUCAAAAGAAUAAUGGUUAAUCACUGUGGCAUUAUUUCAUAAAGUAUAAUGUCUAGAAGGCUUUAAAGUCAAAACAGAGAGGCAUAUGAAAGAGCUGUAUACUUUUGCCCAAUAAGAGUGAAAGAAAUUUUUAUCAGCAAUUGAUUUUAGUGAUAGCUUAUCUUCACUUCAUAUUACACAACACCCUAAUAAAAAUAUAUGAUAGAGGACUCAUCAUUGUGGAAAAAAAUAAAUGUUAAUUGCAGGACAGUUCAAAUGUUGGCCUUGGACUAACUCAGUUCUCCCUUUCUCGCUUGCAGUUCUCAAGAAUAAGUGUAGAAUGUUCUGGGAAUGCAACAUCCUGAAAUACAGAGAAACAGGUUAGAAUAGCCCAGUCUCCGUCUUUGUCCUUCCUGGGACAAGAUAUUCUACAAAACUUUAACCCAUUGAUUUGUGUAGCUUGGGGUUAUAAAACCCAGGGCAGGUGUUUUUUGUAGUCCCUUAGCAAUGAUAUGAGGUGGGGUACCUGUAGAUGAGAGUCCAUUUGCCCUGGGCAGCUUUCCUGAGCCUUGGGAGAUGGACCCACUAUGAAUCUCAGGCUUCUACUCUCCCUUUCUGCCUAUCUGUAAGUAAUACAGUUGCUUUACUCAACUUGUGUGAGUAUUCUAUCCCAGUAUACUCAUACAAAUUGUAGAAAUUACAGCCCAAGUUGCAGUGGGCUGAAAUGGUAACCACUGUGCAGUGAUCCUGCUUUGCACUUAUUUAACAAGUGAUUGAAGGAAUUAGGUAUUAUUUACUUAAAGAUUCUCUAAUCUCAAACUUAUUUCUUGAAGUCCUGAGAAAUAGAAUAAGAGCAUAGCUUUCUGGAUUCCAAAAUUACUGUUCUUUCCACUGCAUCCCACCACUUUAAUGACAGUAUGCUAAUGAACAUGCACACCUCUGUAGAAUUAUUUAUAAUGACAUUUGUGAAAAAUUUUUAUGCAUUUAUGUUUUAGGCAGAUGCUAAACCCCAUUGAACAAUGGUUUCUUAAAGAGUAAACCCAUUUUAUCCAAAAGAGGUCACAUGGCUGUGUGGUGUCUUGACUGAUGCCACAAAUGACAUUCCUAGCCUUGGACCCAGGACCUCCUAUGUGAUAUCCUACAUUCCCUCUUUCUUUGCUUGCUGUCUGUCAGCCAAAUAUAAAGAAUCCAGGAAAAGACUCCUAAGACCUAGGGAAUGUACAUAAGUGGAUACGUGGUAAAGAGUUAUUUAUUCCAACCAGCUUAAACUAUGAAAUGAGCAAGAAAUGUAUUGUGUUAAGAUUCUGAGAUUCGUGGUUUUCUUUUAUACUUAGAUUUCCCUGAUUGAUACAGAAAUUGAAGGUAACUUUCUUCACAUGAUAAAAGCUGUCUACAAAAUAAUAACAUUAUUAUUAUUUGCAUAGCAAUUGUAAAAUACUAAAAGUAUUUUUAUUGAAAUGCAAAAUAAAUGUUAUCAUUACUUCUUUUUUUCAAAAUUGUAUUAAUACUUAACAAUGCAUCCAAUCAAGAAAAAUAAACAAUAAGUAAAAAAAGAAAGAGUAAAAUAAAAAAGUAAUUAAUGACAAAAUAUUAUUAAAGUUAAUAUGAAGAUUUAGCACAAUUGCUAGACAUAAAAUCAGUCAUAAUUAUCAGUUGCAUUUCUAUCCUACAGUAACAAGCAUGUUUGUUGUUUACAAGAUGACAAUGACAUAUGUACAGUUUGAAUAUAACAAAGAAUAACUGAAGAAAUAAGUUGAACAAAAAUAUAUAAGACCUUUAUGUUGAAAAAAUACAGUGAAAGAACUUAAAAAAAACCUGAAAUAACUGUAGAUAUACAAUGCUUAUGGAUAAGAUGUCUCAGAAUUCUAAAAUUACUUUUGGUCCUGAAUUGCUCUCUAGAUUCACUACAUUCUUAACAAAAUGUUAACAUGGUCUUAAUGGAUCAUGUCAAGCUGAUUUUAAAAUGUAUAUUAAAGGCUGGGUGUGGUGGCUCACGCCUGUAAUCCCACCACUUUGGGAGGCCAAGGCAGGUGGAUCACCUCAGGUCAGUAGUUCGAGACCAGCCUGGCCAACAUGGUGAAACCCUGUCUCUACUAAAAAUACAAAAAAGUAGCCGGACAUGGUGGUGGCUGCCUGUAAUUCCACAUACUCAGGAGGCUGAGGCAGGAGAAUCACUGGAACCCAGAAAGUGGAGGUUGCAGUGAGCUGAGAUUGUGCCACUGCACUCCAGCCUGGGUGACAAGAGCAAAACUCCAUUUAAAAAAAUUUCAAAAAAGAAAAAAAAAUAUAUAUAUAGAAGUUCAAAUGCCAAAAAUUAUCAACACUCUUUAAAAAGAUUAUCUCUUUGAGGAAAGAGGGUAGGCCAACUACUUAUCAAGACUUGUUAAAAGAAAAUUAAGAAAAUGUUUAUUAAGAAAAUAUAGCAAAGUUUAUUGUCAUAGGAAUAUGAGAUUAGGCUAAUAAAACAGAAACAUGAUAUGACAGCCAUCACUAAAGAUCUGUGGUGAAAAUUCACUAUUCUAUAAGUUGUACUGGGACAUCUGGGUACUUGAAAAAAUACAAUGUGAUCUCUACUCUAUGACAAAUAAUUUUGGAAGACAUAUUUAAGAAGAAAACAUAGGAGAAUAUCUUUACAUCCCUAGGGUAAGGACUCAUGAUGUUUAAAGAGUGAAAACCAUAAGGAAAAAUAUUGAAAAUUUUGAUACUUAAAAAAAAACUUCUAUUUGUCAAAAGUCAUUAGGAAAUGUGAAAAGAUAAACCAUAAUCUGGGAAAUAGCAUUUUAACAUAAAUAGUUCUAAAUAGAAUAGCGUAGCAUAUAGAAUAUAUGCGAAACACCUAUUUAUUUUAAACCCAAUGAUUUAAUAGAAAAAAGAGCAAAAGGAAAGGAAACAUAAAUGUUCAAUAAAAUAUGAAUCAACAUUCAACCAUAUUAAUGCUUAGAAAAAUGCAAAUUAAAAUUCUUAUGAAAUGAUUCACACCAAGUAGAUUUAUAAAAAUGUAAAAAGUGUUACAAUACUAAAUGUUGGCAGUGUGGUGCAACAACAGAAAUUAUAUCCUAUGGUUGGGGAGUGUUAACUGAUUGAGGCAUUAUGAAAGAUAACCUGUCAUUACUAAGUUAGGUUUAACAUAUAUAUACUUGAUGACCCAAAAAUUUCAUUUUCAUGUGCAAAUCUUAGAGAAUAGUUUAUCUUGUUUUGAAUAUCUGAGACGGAAUAUUCAUAAUAGCAUAUAUAUUUUUGUUUGUUUGUUUUGAGACAAAGUCUUGCUCUUGUCCCCCAGACUGGAGUGCAAUGGUGCCAUCUCGGCUCACUGAAACCUCUGUCUUCUGGGUUCAAGUGAUUCUCCUGCAUCAGCCUCCCGAGUAGCUGGGAUUACAGGCACCUACCACCACGCCUGACUAAUUUCUGUAUUUUUAGUAGAGACGGGGUUUCACCAUGUUGGCCAGGCUUGUCUUGAACUCCUGACCUCAGGUGAUCUGCCCACUUCGGCCUCCCAAAGUGCUGGGAUUACAGGUGUGAGCCACUGCCACUGCGCCUGGACUUCAUAAUGUUAGUGUCAGUAAUAACAAAAAAAGAAACCUUGAAACUACUGAAAGGUAUGGGAACAGUAGAAUGAACAAAAACAAAAUUAUAAGAUAUCAAACAAUAGAAUUUUCUACAGCAGUAUAACUCAAUGAAUUGUGGAUAAAUGCGCCCACAGAUUUCAACCUUAAAAUUAUAUAUUGAGAGAAUAUGCAAAGAAUAGAGAAUCAUACAUGUGGUAGGAUUACAGUUAUAAAUGAGUAUAGUAAAAAAUAAAAGAAAAUGCUCUUAGUAGGAAUAUACAUGUUUGCUAAAACUAUCAAAGAAUAGCAAGGAGAUAAGUAUCUCAAAAUUUUACAAAUGGCUUCCUACAGGUUUAAAUAGAAAAGUGACACAAGGUGACUUCAAAGGGCUGGGUAUUAUAAUAUUUCUUACAUUCCAUGUAUAGAGGCAUUCUCUUAUUAUGAAAACCUAGAUAGAUAGAUAGACAGAUACAGAUAUGUAUAAAAUAAACACUUUUAUAUGUGUAAUCUUUCACAAUUAAAAAAGAGAAAAAACUAUAAAGUACCAUUUUUCCACAUUUAUAGAAAGAGAGAGUACAACAACAUAGUGAGAAGUUUUAUGAAAGUGAGAUAAUUGAACUUGUUUACAGACUGGAAGGAAGGUACAUAAGUGAUGAUGAAAUUUAUAAUAUUGGAUCAAAUUAAAUUAUGGAUGAAGCAGGGUCUUUAAAGAAAUGGAGUGGAAGUAAACUUCAGUGCAUGUAGAGGAAUAUCUUUUCCCAGGAGAUGGGACAUCCCUUUGAGACCAGAAUAAAGUGGCUGAAGAUGAGCAUAGUUACAGUAAUUUAGUUACUCUGGAGUCAGGCAUCUGAGAGAAUUCAUACUUUGUAGUUUUAGUUUUUCCUUGUGAAAAAAGAAGAGGCAAGUUCUUGCUCAGAAAGUGUGAGAUGGCAGUAGAGGAGAGAAAAGAAGAAAAAUAUUUACAUGGUCAACAUAGAGCUGCUCAUUGAUACCUGAUUCUCAUCUCAUUCUGGGCACCAUGAAGCACCAAAUUCCUGCCCUUUUGUUGUUUAAUGGGACCAGACUUCUAAUUCUGGUCAAUGAGUUUUGGGCAGAAGUGGUGUGUGUCACCUCCAAGCUGGAGCACUCCUCCUGAAUGCCAGCUGUACUUUGACCUUCCUCAGUAACUGUGGAAGAAUGCGUCAACAUGGAUGCUACAUUGGCCUUGAUGCCUGAGUGAUAAUGAGGAACACAGCCCCUGGCCACUCUAUUCAGACAAGUAGAGUGAGUGAAAAGCAAACAUUUGUUUUCAAUAUUAUGAACAUUUCAAAAUUGUUUGUUAUCUAAUGUAAUAUACCUGAUACAGUUUAGAAUAGUUUUUUGGCUUUUGUUUGCUUUAUUUUUGUGAGGAUUUUUGGAUUUUUUUUUUUUUUUAAAUGAGAAUGGGAAAGUAACCUCAGGAGCAAGUAACAUUCUUGCUUACUGGCACUUGGGAUCUAGUUUUAGUUCCUGCAAAACAGAUUAUUUGGGUUUUUAAAUUUGUUUCCUUGUUUCUAAUUUUAGUUUUACUUUUCAAUGUUGGCUUUUGAGGUAUCCUUCUUUGAUGCCUAGUUUGUUGAGGUUUCUAUCAUGAACGGGUGUUGAAUUUUAUCAAAGCUUUUUCUGCAUUUAUUGAGAUAAUAACACAGUUUUUAUUUUUAAUUCUGUUUAUGUGAUGAAUCACAUUUCCUAAUUUGCAUAUGUUAAACCAGCCUUGCAUCCCAGGAAUAAAGCCUAUUUUAUCAUGGUGGAUUAUUUUUUUGAUGUGCUGCUGGAUUUGGUUUGCUACUAUUUUGUUGAGGAUUUUUAUGUCAAUGUUCAUCAGGACUACUGGCCUGAAACUUUCUUUUUCACUGUGUCUCCCAGGUUUUGGUAUCAGAAUGAUGCUGGCCUGAUAGAAUGAGUUAGGGAGGAGUAUCUCCAUCUCCAUUUUUUUGAAUAAUUUCAGUAGGAUUGCUACCAGCUCACCUUUGUGCAUCUGGUAGAAUUAAGCUGUGAAUCUAUCUGGUUCAGGGCUUUUUCUGGAUGGUAGGGUUUCUUUUUAAAUUACUGAUUCAAUUUCAGAACUCAUUAUCAGUAAGUUCAAGAUUUUGGUUUCUCUCUGGCUCAAUCUUGGGAGGCUGUAUGUUUCCAGGAAUUUAUCCAUUCCUUUCAUGUUUAUAGUUUAUAACAGGGUUUAUUGUAUUUCUGUGGGGUCCAUGGUAAUGUGUCCUCUGUCAUUUCUGAUUGUGUUUAUUUGGAUCUUCUCUUUUUUUCUGUACUAAUCUAUUAAUCUGGCUAGCAGUCUAUCAAUCCUAUUUAUACUUUUGAAGAACAAAUGUUUGGUCUUGUUGGUAUUUUGAAUGGGUUUUCAUGUCUCAGUUCAGUUCAGCUCCGAUUUUGGUUAUUUAUUUUCUUUUGCUACGUUUGUGGUUGGUUUGCUCUUGUUUUUCUCAUUCCUCUAUGUGUGAUGUUAGGUUGUUAUUUUGAGAUCUUACUAACUUCUUCAUGUAGGCAUUUAGUGUUAUAAACUUUCCUCUUGACACUGCUUUAGCUAUAUCCCAGAGAUUCUGUUAUGUUGUAUAUUUGUUUACAUUCAUUUCAAAAAAUAUUUUGAUUUCUGCCUUAAUAUCAGUCUUUAUCCAAAAUUUGUUCAGGAGUAGGUCAUUUAAUUUGCAUGUAAAUUUAUGGUUUUGAGAUAUCUUUUUGGUAUUGAUUGAAAGUGAUUUAUGUACCAGAAACAACUGGCUGAAGAAUUGGAGAAUCAUCAAACUAAGGAAAGGAUUUUCCUAAAAAAAUAUAUACUAGUUGGACAAUAAAAAGGAACAUUGUUUAUGAAUAAAUUUAGGAGGGUACUCAAAACUGAGAAGUAGAAUCAAUUUUAGAGUUUCAAGUAGAGAUCACAUGGAUAGUUAAUAGCAUUCAAAACAUGUAAAUAAUUUCUUAGUCACACAAAUAUAAAAAUACCACUGUUGCCUUAAGAAAUUGUCCUGUCACCCUGUCAAAUUUCUAUAAAAAGGCAAACAAACUAGUAUAUUUUUAAAACAAAUCUCUACCAAAUAUUAUUAACAUUUGAAUUCUUUUCUUCAUGCUAAAACUUUUAAGCCAGAUCACUUUAUUCUUGGAGUAAGAAGACAAAUGUCUUUAAAGAAGCUUCCAAUUUAUUCUAAUGUAAAUUUUCUGAAAUUAGUUUCAUAAAUUUAUAAAUUAUUAAGUGAUGCAACAUUCCUAGAUAUUCAAAAUUAAAUAUGUUAUACUGUGUAUUUAAUUACACUUAUAUAUAAAGUUCAAAUAAAAUAAAACAGGAUAUAAUUCUCUAGAAUAUUCAGCAUUUUUAAACCUUUUCUUUGUACCAUUAUCUAAUAUCUUUGCAUAGGUAAAUCCUAUAAAUUCCAUCUCAGAAUAAUAUUUUAAUACAUUAAACAUAUAAUUACAAUGAAAAGUAAUAAUAACAAAAUACAUUACUAAAACACAGCCUUUGAAGGAAUGAUUUAAUAGCUCUAGAUUAAGAAUCUAGAAAAUAUAUAUUUCAUUAAAAUGAUUAUUUUCACCUUUAUAUAAACUUGUUUAAAAGUUUUUAAUAACGGAUUAAUGGUAUACAGAACUGUUGAUUUCUAUAUGUUCAUCUUGUAUGUGGUCACUUAAUUAUCUUUUUAGUUAUAAUAGUAUUUCUGUUAACUCUCUUUUCUAGAUACACAAUACAGUAAUAACAUCUGCAAAAAACUUGUUUCAGUAUUUAAUGUUUAUAAAUAAUAUUUUUUGAUUAUGUAAGUAAUAUAAGCUUACUGCAAAAAAUGAAAAAACACAGAAAAACAUGUAGAGAUGAGAAUUGUCAAUAUUUAAUGUACACAUUUCCAGAAAGUUGGUAUUGUUUCAUUUUAAUAAAAUCCUGUUAUUUCCAACAACGUUGAUGAAUUGGAGGAUAUUAUGUUAAGUGAAAUAAGCCAGGCACUGAAAGACAUUCUCACUAAUAUGUGGGAGCUAAAAAAAUAUAUAUUGAACUCCUGGAGAUAAAGAAUAGAAUGAUGUAGAAUGCCAGAGGCUAGGAAGGGUAGCUUGGGGGAAGGACAAAGAGGGGAUGAUUAAUGCCUACAUACAUACAGUUGGAAAGAAGAAAUAAGAUUGAGUGUUCUGUAGUACAAUAGAACAACAAUAGAUAACAAUAAUUUAUCGUACACUUAAAAAUAACUAAAAGGAUGGCACUGGAAUGUUCCUGACACAAAGGAACAUUGUGUUGAAGUGAUGAAUAUCCCAAUUACCCUGAUUUGAUCAUUACACAUUUUUUGCUGUGUCAAAAUAUCAGGUGUACCCCAUAAAUAUUUACAACUAUUAUGUAUACAUAGUAAAUACAAAUUUAAAAAAUAAAAAUAAAUCUCUAACAUAUCCAAAGCUGGUAAAGAAACGGAGUGAAAGCCAUUUCAUUUGCCUUAGGCAAAAGGAUCUUUACUGCAUUGCUAAUAUUCCCUAUUGACAGUUUAGUAAUAGCUAUCAAAAAUUUUAUGACUAUACCUUUGACUCAGCUAUUUUACCUUUAAGAUUUCUUCUGAGCAAAAACCUCAUAAAGUUGCACAAAAAUUAUCUACAACUAUGUUUAUGCUAAUAUUUUGAAUAAAAUUGGCUACUGUUUACUCAAUGCUUACUCUGUGCCAAGUAUUAUGCUAAAACUUUUAUGUACAUCACCUCAUUUCAGCCUUGUAAAAACCUCAUUGCCCCUUUCUUUUUAAUUUCCAUUAACAGGGAAGACUAUUUAAGCUUAGAUCUUAGGUGAGUUAGUCAAGAAUACACAAACAAUAAGUAUGUAAGUUAAAGUCAUCCAUCUCCAGAA